RNAcentral lists this long non-coding RNA (400 nucleotides) under Chrysolophus pictus (golden pheasant). Its description in RNAcentral is "lncRNA (ENSCPIG00010002828.1)". Lineage: Eukaryota; Metazoa; Chordata; Aves; Galliformes; Phasianidae. The record is from RNAcentral.
GUAUAAUUGGCUAGCAAAGCACAGGAAGAGGCAAACACAAGAAAAUUAUCCAAGAUUUGGAGUACUCUGCAACUGUAACAGUUGUGCAGUUGAAGAUUGUGCUAUUGAGUAGGAGCUGCUCAAGGGUGGGAUCCUGCAGAGCCUGAAGCUAAAUAUCAGCAUUUGCAUGACUGGAUCAUCACAAGAGCAGCAGAACUAAUGGCAAAAAUUGUUAGGGAUUUUCUGCUAGAAUUGAGUCUUCUGUCCCAAAGAACUGUCAGAAGUGACAGAAAUGCACAAGUGGGAGGAGAAAUGUGAUCAGUCACUCAUAAGAGAAAAUGAAACGAGUGAAGGCUUCCAGUCCUCCUACAUCCUGUCAUUUUGGCCAAGGCUGAAUUUUCACGGAGGUGCCCACACAUGA